GGGAGCUGCGGUGGCCACACAGGUCUGCAGAAAGAGAGAGAGACAGAGAGAGAGUAGUGGACAAGAAAAAAGACAGCAAGGGAAGACAAGUUGGGUCAACAUGGAACUUCUUUGAAAAGGCUGCCAAUUGUCAAACCGCUUGUUUUUCUUGACCCUUCUGACUUCUUUUUAGCAUUAUUGCUGCAUUCUCAGACCUCUGCAAGAAACUUUGGGAGCAACAUUAGUAAUGGCCGAAACUACAAAAAUAAGACCAACAUGAAGCCAGACAGCCAGAAAGCCAGAGCUGAAAAAGCAGACUUAUUGGAGAUGUGAGGUAAUCAGAUGAUUACACUGGCAGAGAGACAGAGGAAGAAAGAGUUUCCAGAGUUUCAUUUGCAUCCACCUGAGUGUGUGUCUCUGUCAACAGUACACACACAUUAACUCCAGCUAGGUUGCCAUAAGUUAUAAAAUCAGUUUUUAUAACUGGAACAUGGGGACAAUUUACACAACAAGUUCAG
This is a long non-coding RNA of Thunnus maccoyii (southern bluefin tuna), 497 nucleotides long. RefSeq lists it as uncharacterized. The transcript is spliced from 3 exons. The record is from RefSeq and is a predicted model, not a curated record. NCBI's taxonomy places the organism in Eukaryota, Metazoa, Chordata, Actinopteri, Scombriformes, Scombridae.